Canis lupus familiaris (dog) is the source of this 105-nucleotide non-coding RNA. The record is from Rfam. Lineage: Eukaryota; Metazoa; Chordata; Mammalia; Carnivora; Canidae.
AGGAGCAACAGCCCUAAUGGCGGGGGCAGCUCUGGAAACCUGGAUUCAGCCCCCGCAGGAACUCCUGAGCUCUCCCUCUGCAGGGCCUGGAGGCUCCGGGGCGGG